RNAcentral lists this small RNA (554 nucleotides) under Pongo abelii (Sumatran orangutan). RNAcentral describes it as "processed transcript". The record is from RNAcentral. Lineage: Eukaryota; Metazoa; Chordata; Mammalia; Primates; Hominidae.
AGUCUCCAUUACUCCAUUCCCUCUCCAAGACCUAAGCAACCACUAAUCUGCUUUCUGCCUCUGUAAAUAAGACCAGAAAUUCCCAUUCCUGAAGAGUUAGAUGAUGAUGAAGAUGAUGAGGAUGUGGAUCUUUCAGUUCCUGGCUCUUGCUAUCUCAAACUGUUGUCACUCACUCCCCCUUUGGUUUUACCAGCUUUGGAGGAAUUUUUUACAUCACUUGUGAAGCAAGAAAUGGUGAAUAUGCCUCGUGGGAUAUAUCACUCUGCAUUAAAAGGAGGUGUCCGCUCAGACCAAGGAAAGACUGUAGCAGGAAUCCCCAAUUUUAUAUUGAAAAUGUAUGAAACAAACAAGCAACCAGGAUUGAAACCUGGCCUUGCAGGUGGUAUGUUAUUUUGCUAUGAUGUUUCCAUGUAUCAGAGUAAAGAUGGAAAACCAUUGAAUAGACUGAUGGCCAGCAGAGGGCGAAGUUUCAAGCAGACAUCACUUGCUCUUGUACAUGAGGUUCAUAUCCAGCUUUCAGAGUGGCACCGUGCGAUUUUUCUUCCACAGGCCUG